GACGUAGGGCGCGAGCGUUGUCCGGAUUUAUUGGGCGUAAAGAGCUCGUAGGCGGCUUGUCGCGUCGUCCGUGAAAACCCACAGCUCAACUGUGGGCUUGCGGUCGAUACGGGCAGGCUGGAGUUCGGUAGGGGAGACUGGAAUUCCUGGUGUAGCGGUGAAAUGCGCAGAUAUCAGGAAGAACACCCGUGGCGAAGGCGGCUCUCUGGGACGGUACUGACGCUGAGACGCGAAAGCGUGGGGAGCGAACAGG
This 253-nucleotide ribosomal RNA is filed under the name uncultured bacterium. Its description in RNAcentral is "partial 16S ribosomal RNA". It matches the Rfam family "Bacterial small subunit ribosomal RNA", at positions 524 to 776 of the family's 1533-position model. The record is from RNAcentral.